Molecule: transfer RNA, 75 nt
Filed under: Virus Rctr197k
Lineage: Duplodnaviria; Heunggongvirae; Uroviricota; Caudoviricetes
Description: tRNA-Ile
Rfam family: tRNA
About the family: Transfer RNA (tRNA) molecules are approximately 80 nucleotides in length. Their secondary structure includes four short double-helical elements and three loops (D, anti-codon, and T loops). Further hydrogen bonds mediate the characteristic L-shaped molecular structure. tRNAs have two regions of fundamental functional importance: the anti-codon, which is responsible for specific mRNA codon recognition, and the 3' end, to which the tRNAs corresponding amino acid is attached (by aminoacyl-tRNA synthetases). tRNAs cope with the degeneracy of the genetic code in two manners: having more than one tRNA (with a specific anti-codon) for a particular amino acid; and 'wobble' base-pairing, i.e. permitting non-standard base-pairing at the 3rd anti-codon position.
Source: RNAcentral
CCUUGGGUAGCUCAGAUGGUCAGAGCGCACGGCUGAUAUCCGUGAGGUCGGGAGUUCAAUCCUCUCCCCAAGGAC